ACGGGUGAGUAACGCGUGAGUAACCUGCCUUUCAGAGGGGGAUAACGUUCUGAAAAGAAACGCUAAUACCGCAUGAGACUACAGAGCUGCAUGGCUCAGUGGUCAAAGGAGCAAUCCGCUGAAAGAUGGACUCGCGUCCGAUUAGAUAGUAGGCGGGGUAACGGCCCACCUAGUCGACGAUCGGUAGCCGGACUGAGAGGUUGAACGGCCACAUUGGGACUGAGACACGGCCCAGACUCCUACGGGAGGCAGCAUG
Molecule: ribosomal RNA, 256 nt
Filed under: uncultured bacterium
Lineage: Bacteria
Description: partial 16S ribosomal RNA
Rfam family: Bacterial small subunit ribosomal RNA
Source: RNAcentral